Molecule: long non-coding RNA, 1207 nt
Filed under: Betta splendens (Siamese fighting fish)
Lineage: Eukaryota; Metazoa; Chordata; Actinopteri; Anabantiformes; Osphronemidae
Description: lncRNA (ENSBSLG00000002412.1)
Source: RNAcentral
AUGCGUACAGUCAUACCAGUCUGCAUGACAAGCAUCACACACACACACACACACGUGUUUCCUUUUGCAUUGUCUGUCUUUCUCUCAAACACACACUCUCUUUUACACACACACACACACACACACACACACACACACACACACACACACACACACACACACCAACGCUGCACUACUCUCUCUGUCUUGGAAUUUUACAUUUUGAUGAAGGAGGAAGAGCGUCGUCCAAUCAGAGCAGCGAGAACCGGGAGAGACCAUCAGGGCACAGACGACGGGGAGAUCCGGAGGCAGCUGGAUGGAGCGACACCAGUGCUAGGGUGUAGCUACUGAUCUUAUACUACAGCGCAGAGAGGGAGGAGGGACGUCAGGUGUCAAAGCGCUGCAACCCCAGAUGAGGCUGCAUCGCCACGACAACCAGCUCCAGGGGUGCCGCCAGGUGAGUCUGAGGACACGCUCACACACACACUCACACACACACACACACACGCACACACACACAGACACACACACGGUGACACACGUGCUAUAAAUGCACACAAAGUAAUUCAACCUAGGGAUGGAAUGAACAGGUUCCCGCACACAGGUGUGCAGCUCGUGAUGUGUUUCAGGAUGUCAGCGUUGUCACCGUGCAUCCCCCGUCGCCGCGCUGAUGUGUCAGUGUGAGCGUGUGCACGGCCGCUGUCAGCGGGCGUGCGUUUGUGCGUGCGUGCGUCUGUAGCCAUGCCAGUAUGUACAGUAUACGUGUGUGUACGCACACCGUCCCUCCCAGUGUGGUGGUGGGAGACAAAGGGUCCCCUCUGUCUGGCACCGCUGCCGACAGCGGGAAAGUUGUCGCUGGGAGCGAUCACGUCUCAUCAGAAAAAGAAAAGGAGUCCAGUAGGGUGCACCCCCCCACCACCAUCACCACCACCACCACCACCACCUUCAUCGCUGUCGAACACUCCUGACUCACGGUGAUAGGAGGACACGGUCACAGCGGAUGAUCAACGGGGUGGGUGGGGGUUGGUGUGGGGGUGGGGUGUGUUCUGAGGACACAGAGGCUGCGAGGAAGACGGGGGGGGGGGGGGGGGGGGGGGGGGACUUGGCGGUCUUGACACUACUGUAAUUUUUUGACAGACGUGCCUUUAAAGGAUGGAGCUAGAACACAUGUGCAGCGAGAAGCUGCCGGCGGAGGGGAAGGAAAAAGAACGGGAGCAUGUGCCACAUG